GUCUGUUUUAUUGUUUUCCUUUGUGGCCAUGGCGUUGUCAGUUUAUUUUUGACCUAUGAGUUUGAAGGUCCCUCUGGUAUCUUUCUUCCCUCUUUUGAAUGAUCUGUUUUGUAUUGCAGCGGUUUAUUUGGCCAAUUAUUUUAAGUUAUCAUCAACUUUAUUGUUCCUAACCCGUCAACCUAGUGAUUGAGAGUUCAAGCUCUCGUAUGUACAUUAUCCUCAAAUAUCACGCAU
This 234-nucleotide long non-coding RNA is filed under the name Mytilus galloprovincialis (Mediterranean mussel). The record is from RNAcentral. Lineage: Eukaryota; Metazoa; Mollusca; Bivalvia; Mytilida; Mytilidae.